CCAGACUCCUACGGGAGGCAGCAGUGGGGGAUAUUGCGCAAUGGGGGAAACCCUGAUGCAGCGACGCCGCGUGAGUGAAGAAGUAUUUCGGUAUGUAAAGCUCUAUCAGCAGGGAAGAAAAAAGACGGUACCUGACUAAGAAGCCCCGGCUAACUACGUGCCAGCAGCCGCGGUAAUACGUAGGGGGCAAGCGUUAUCCGGAUUUACUGGGUGUAAAGGGAGCGUAGACGGCGAUGCAAGUCUGAAGUGAAAGCCCGGGGCUCAACCCCGGGACUGCUUUGGAAACUGUAUGGCUGGAGUACUGGAGAGGUAAGCGGAAUUCCUAGUGUAGCGGUGAAAUGCGUAAAUAUUAGGAGGAACACCAGUGGCGAAGGCGGCUUACUGGGCUUUAACUGACGCUGAGGCUCGAAAGCGUGGGUAGCAAACAGGAUUAGAUACCCCGGUAC
RNAcentral lists this ribosomal RNA (446 nucleotides) under uncultured bacterium. RNAcentral's name for it is "bacterial SSU rRNA". It matches the Rfam family "Bacterial small subunit ribosomal RNA", at positions 331 to 793 of the family's 1533-position model. The record is from RNAcentral.